GACGAACGCUGGCGGCGUGCUUAACACAUGCAAGUCGAACGGAAAGGCCCUGCUUUUGUGGGGUGCUCGAGUGGCGAACGGGUGAGUAACACGUGAGUAAACUGUCCUUGACUUUGGGAUAACUUCAGGAAACUGGGGCUAAUACCGGAUAGGAGCUCCUGCUGCAUGGUGGGGGUUGGAAAGUUUCGGCGGUUGGGGAUGGACUCGCGGCUUAUCAGCUUGUUGGUGGGGUAGUGGCUUACCAAGGCUUUGACGGGUAGCCGGCCUGAGAGGGUGACCGGCCACAUUGGGACUGAGGUACGGCCCAGACGCCUACGGGACGCAGCAGUGGGGAAUAUUGCACAAUGGGCGGAAGCCUGAGGCAGCAACGCCGCGUGCGGGAUGACGGGCUUCGGGUUGUAAACCGCUUUCUCCUGUGACGAAGCGUGAGUGACGGUAAUGGGUAAAGAAGCACCGGCUAACUACGUG
Molecule: ribosomal RNA, 468 nt
Filed under: uncultured bacterium
Lineage: Bacteria
Description: partial 16S ribosomal RNA
Rfam family: Bacterial small subunit ribosomal RNA
Source: RNAcentral